UACGUAGGUGGCAAGCGUUGUCCGGAUUUAUUGGGUUUAAAGGGUGCGUAGGCGGCUUAUUAAGUCAGUGGUGAAAGACGGUAGCUUAACUAUCGAGGUGCCAUUGAUACUGAUGAGCUUGAGUACUGAUGAGGUAGGCGGAAUGGACGGUGUAGCGGUGAAAUGCAUAGAUAUCGUCCAGAACACCGAUAGCGAAGGCAGCUUACUAAGGAGUAACUGACGCUGAGGCACGAAAGUGUGGGGAUCAAACAGG
RNAcentral lists this ribosomal RNA (253 nucleotides) under uncultured bacterium. Its description in RNAcentral is "partial 16S ribosomal RNA". It matches the Rfam family "Bacterial small subunit ribosomal RNA", at positions 524 to 776 of the family's 1533-position model. The record is from RNAcentral.